AAUCAACGCUGGCGGCGUGCCUCAGACAUGCAAGUCGAACGCGAAAGUCCCCUUCGGGGGACAAGUAGAGUGGCGCACGGGUGAGUAACACGUAGGUAAUCUACCUUCGGAUGGGGAAUAACAACCGGAAACGGUUGCUAAUACCGCAUAAUGCAGCGGCACCUAAUGGUGACAGUCGUUAAAGCGGGGGAUCGAAAGACCUCGCGUCUGAAGAGGAGCCUGCGGCGGAUUAGCUAGNGGUAAGGUAAUGGCUUACCAAGGCGACGAUCCGUAGCCGGCCUGAGAGGGGCGGUCGGCCACACUGACACUGACAUACGGGUCAGACUCCUACGGGAGGCAGCAGUCGGGAAUUUUGGGCAAUGGGCGAAAGCCUGACCCAGCACG
This 384-nucleotide ribosomal RNA is filed under the name uncultured bacterium. RNAcentral describes it as "bacterial SSU rRNA". It matches the Rfam family "Bacterial small subunit ribosomal RNA", at positions 32 to 396 of the family's 1533-position model. The record is from RNAcentral.